RNAcentral lists this unclassified non-coding RNA (200 nucleotides) under Agaricomycetes sp. RNAcentral's name for it is "partial internal transcribed spacer 2". The record is from RNAcentral. Lineage: Eukaryota; Fungi; Basidiomycota; Agaricomycetes.
UUAAGUUCAGCGGGUAGUCCUACCUGAUUCGAGGUCAGAUUUCAAAGUGUGCUUGACCGCCGCUCAGACGGCAGUCGAGGUGGGGGACACGAGGCCCGGUCGGACGAGGACAAUACAACGCCCGUGGGUGCUCGGAGACCCCACCGAUGCAUUCAAAGGGAGCCGCGUCGCGCGGCGAGCACCCCGAACCGAUCCGCCGC